Molecule: ribosomal RNA, 376 nt
Filed under: uncultured bacterium
Lineage: Bacteria
Description: bacterial SSU rRNA
Rfam family: Bacterial small subunit ribosomal RNA
Source: RNAcentral
UACGAAGGGGGCUAGCGUUGCUCGGAAUGACUGGGCGUAAAGGGCGCGUAGGCGGCGCAUUUGGUCAGGCGUGAAAGUCCUGGGCUCAACCUGGGGAUUGCGUUUGAUACGGGUGUGCUUGAGUGAGGAAGAGGGUCGUGGAAUUCCCAGUGUAGAGGUGAAAUUCGUAGAUAUUGGGAAGAACACCGGCGGCGAAGGCGGCGACCUGGUCCUUUACUGACGCUGAGGCGCGAAAGCGUGGGGAGCAAACAGGAUUAGAUACCCCGGUAGUCCACGCCGUAAACGUUGUGCACUAGGUGUGGGAGGUAUCGACCCCUUCCGUGCCGAAGCUAACGCAUUAAGUGCACCGCCUGGGGAGUACGGUCGCAAGACUGAA